This is a long non-coding RNA of Phycodurus eques (leafy seadragon), 2839 nucleotides long. RefSeq lists it as uncharacterized. The record is from RefSeq and is a predicted model, not a curated record. NCBI's taxonomy places the organism in Eukaryota, Metazoa, Chordata, Actinopteri, Syngnathiformes, Syngnathidae. The transcript is spliced from 2 exons.
UAAAUAAAGAUGGUACAAUCUAUACUGAUAGCCAGUAAGAGGGUUCCACAACAAGAACGCAAUUCAAAGUGCAAAACUACAAAAUGAAAUUUACAUUAGCAAAGAAAAAAUAAAAUAAAAUAAAUAACUAUUCAAAUGGGCUGCUAUAUUGAGACAUGCUGUGUCACAUGUCUCAACAGGAGGGAUGGUAAGACAGAUAAAUCAAUAUUAUACAACUUAUGAUUUUAAUUCCUAUUAAAAUAAUAAUAAUAAUAAUAAUUUGUAGAGCAUGUAUGAUUUGUGCUAGGUAUAAUCCACAAGGCAAUUUGAGGCCCAGGAGAGGAAUAUUGAAUUAAACCAAAGUGAAGGAAAAAAGUAUUGUUUGGUUAUCAUAGAUGCAUUUUCUAAAUGGAUCGAAUUAUUCUCAACAAAAUCACCUGAUGCUCUGACGGUGGCAAAAGCACUAUGUAAAGACAUCAUUCCAAAAUAUGGCAUACCUGAAACCAUUUACAGUGAUAAUGGGACUCAUUUUGUAAAUCAAAUAAUCAAUAAAAUAGGAACCAUGUUCCACAUCAAUUUGAAAAACCAUUGUGCUUACCACCACCCUCAGAGUGUAGGUCGAGUGGAAAGAAUGAAUGGGACAAUAAAAAAUAGCAGAAAGAAACACGUGGGUUCAUUUAACACACUGUAAAAGAGUCAUUUCAGCUGAGUACUCAAAUAGGGAAGGUGAGCAAAAGUCUGAUAACGGAGCGGGAGCAGAUGUGUAGAUUCUGAAAACGCUUGCUGGUCAGUGAAGAAAAAAGACACCAACCCGUUUAGUGAGAACUCAGCAGAAUGGCACACCCGCGUUGGUUACGAGAUUCGAUGAGUUGUUACAUAGCAACUUUGGUUACUAUAGUGUUGAUUUUGUUUUGUGGUACAUGGGACGUCCCACCCUAAAUGAUACAACGCAUUUUUUAGAUAGGAAAUCACCUACCAACUGGACCAAUAUGACCAACCCAAUAAUAAAAAAUUUGGAAGCAUUAACUCGUACCAAAAGGAGUACAGUUGAUGAUCAGAACUGUGGGCAUGACCUCCAAAAGCGGCAAAACAGUUUAAUAUUUUGUGCCUCCCAAAAUCAAGAUACUUUAAUCAUAAUUCCAUAUGCGGCUCUCACCAAUGAUGCUCAAGAGAAUGGGCAGAAUUGAGGAUAGGUGAAACAGGUUAUGAAUGGUCCAGUUGGUCACAAAAAAAUAGCAAAAGAAUAUAGAAAGAAGUUUAACAUAAGCAAAAUGGCCCAUAGUUUAAUAUUGAAAUACAAAUCAAGUCACCCAGUGUGUUUGAUGAUGAGUUUGUGGGCAUAUUCUGGCGGAAAAGAUCCCCACUUCCGAGUAGCAUUGUGUUAUGGCAACCGUGUUGAACCAGAAAUGCCAUUAAAAAACUUCAAAGAAAAGUGAACACAUUUUAAUGGUUAAUAACAUAACUACUUAUGAUUGGUUCCUUGUAGUCACAGGAGUUUCGGGACAAAAUUCUAUUCUAGUAGCACCGAAUAAUUUCACUUGUAUAAACAUGAUUAGUAAAGGAAAAAAAUAAAUAAAAAAUAGGACCACUUAACGACACACGGUGUAAAGUAACCUUAAAAGUCGGACCAAAAUUUAUGCCAGUAUCACGGAGCAGCAGCUGGUGGUGGUCCGGAGAUGAUAGACUGUUUGAUAGAUUACCUAAAGAUCUGGAUUGUGAACUAUUAUCACUUUGAUAUUGCAUGUGUCAGUAUACCCUAUGCCUGUUCAAGAUUUAAUGGAAAGGGCACCAAUGUUUUUGUCCAAUCUAGAACAUAGACAAAAAAUAGAUUUAUCCUGGCAGAGGCAAAAUUAUCCAACAUAAAAUAUACAUCAACGCCAUAGGUGUUCCUCAUGGGGUUCCUAAUCAAUACAAAUUAGCUGACCAAGUUGCAGGAGGACUUCAUAUGCUGGUGGUGUACGAUGAAUAAAAAUGUUGAUGGGAUAAACUAUAUCCACUUCAAUGUACAGAGAUUAGGAAAUUGGACUCAGAGUGGGUUGGAAGCUGUGCAUGAGCAGCUCAAAGCUACCUCUUCAAGGACGUUCCAAAAGCGCAUAGCUGUCGACACACUCCUCGCAAGAGAGGGAGGUGUUUGCGGUAUGUUUGGAGAACAAACAAUACUGCUUCAGAUGGCAGCUUGACCAGAGCCAUCGAUGGUCUACGGACCCUCAAUCAACACUCCUUGUGGGACAGCUGGAUGGACGUUUUUGCCAUAACCCCAUGGAGAACCGUAUGGAGAUGAUGUAUCCAUUACUGUUUGAUGAUAAAGAUAAUGAUGAUGAUGAUGAUGAUUUUGCUUUAACUGAUUUGUUUCCUGAUUCAGAUGAUUACGAUGUUUAAACUACAAAAUUCAUGUAUGACAAAUUUACUCUGAGUAUAAAUGUAUUUGUUUCAUAAAAAUUAUUCUACAGUUAAAAAAUCGAAAUGAAGUGACUGUAAGAUGAUAUGAGAAUUUGUGCAAAUACAUGAUAAACAGGAGGGAAAUGUUAGAUAUAUUGUAGAAGUUAUCAUUUAUUUGCUUAGCUUGCAUUAGUAUUAUGGACAAUGUUUAGAAAGAAAGAUGUCUCGCCUUCAAGAAGAUGACUCAGCAGGAAUCAUCUGAGAGAAGGACGUGGCCGGGACGUGGCAGGUGCCAUGUUUUCACCUUGAAACCCUACCCUUAGUGUGUUGUGUCUUGUAGCUUAGUACGUUAUGUCUUGUAAACUUAGAAACCUCCCUAUUUUCAAAUAAAUGCAGGAGCGACGGGAGAGAUUGUUUAGAGCGUGUUGAGAGGCUGUAAUCUGAACAAUCUCCCAUGCGCCCUCCUCAUGAGAAAAAGAAA